GUGGCGAACGGGUGAGUAACACGUGAGUAACCUGCCCUUGACUCUGGGAUAAGCGUUGGAAACGACGUCUAAUACCGGAUACGAGCUGGGACCGCAUGGUCACCAGCUGGAAAGAACUUCGGUCAAGGAUGGACUCGCGGCCUAUCAGCUAGUUGGUGAGGUAACGGCUCACCAAGGCGACGACGGGUAGCCGGCCUGAGAGGGUGACCGGCCACACUGGGACUGAGACACGGCCCAGACUCCUACGGGAGGCAGCAGUGGGGAAUAUUGCACAAUGGGCGCAAGCCUGAUGCAGCAACGCCGCGUGAGGGACGACGGCCUUCGGGUUGUAAACCUCUUUUAGCAGGGAAGAAGCGAAAGUGACGGUACCUGCAGAAAAAGCACCGGCUAACUACGUGCCAGCAGCCGCGGUAAUACGUAGGGUGCAAGCGUUGUCCGGAAUUAUUGGGCGUAAAGAGCUCGUAGGCGGUCUGUCGCGUCUGCUGUGAAAACCCGAGGCUCAACCUCGGGCCUGCAGUGGGUACGGGCAGACUAGAGUGCGGUAGGGGAGAUUGGAAUUCCUGGUGUAGCGGUGGAAUGCGCAGAUAUCAGGAGGAACACCGAUGGCGAAGGCAGAUCUCUGGGCCGUAACUGACGCUGAGGAGCGAAAGCGUGGGGAGCGAACAGGAUUAGAUACCCUGGUUGUCCAC
Molecule: ribosomal RNA, 689 nt
Filed under: uncultured Actinobacteridae bacterium
Lineage: Bacteria; Bacillati; Actinomycetota; Actinomycetes
Description: bacterial SSU rRNA
Rfam family: Bacterial small subunit ribosomal RNA
Source: RNAcentral